CCGGCGCACGGGUGAGUAACACGUAUCCAACCUGCCGAUAACUCGGGGAUAGCCUUUCGAAAGAAAGAUUAAUACCCGAUGGUAUAAUCAGACCGCAUGGUUUGAUUAUUAAAGAAUUUCGGUUAUCGAUGGGGAUGCGUUCCAUUAGGCAGUUGGUGAGGUAAAGGCUCACCAAGGCGACGAUCGGUAGCUGGUCUGAGAGGACGACCAGCCACACUGGGACUGAGACACGGCCCAG
RNAcentral lists this ribosomal RNA (238 nucleotides) under uncultured bacterium. RNAcentral's name for it is "partial 16S ribosomal RNA". It matches the Rfam family "Bacterial small subunit ribosomal RNA", at positions 95 to 334 of the family's 1533-position model. The record is from RNAcentral.